GAUGAACGCUGGCGGCGUGCCUAAUACAUGCAAGUCGAGCGAACAGACGAGGCGCUUGCUCCUCUGACGUUAGCGGCGGACGGGUGAGUAACACGUGGAUAACCUAUCUUUAAGACUGGGAUAACUUCGGGAAACCGGAGCUAAUACCGGAUAAUAUAUUGAACCGCAUGGUUCAAUAGUGAAAGACGGUUUUGCUGUCACUUAUAGAUGUAUCCUCGCCGCAUUAGCUAGUUGGUAAGGUAACGGCUUACCAAGGCAACGAUGCGUAGCCGACCUGAGAGGGUGAUCAGCCACACUGGAACUGAGACACGGUCCAGACUCCUACGGGAGGCAGCAGUGGGGAAUCUUCCGCAAUGGGCGAAAGCCUGACGGAGCAAUGCCGCGUGAGUGAUGAAGGUCUUCGGAUCGUAAAGCUCUGUUAUUAGGGAAGAACGAAUGUGAAAGUAACUAUGGACGUCUUGACGGUACCUAAUCAAAAAGCCACGGCUAACUACGUG
Molecule: ribosomal RNA, 497 nt
Filed under: uncultured bacterium
Lineage: Bacteria
Description: partial 16S ribosomal RNA
Rfam family: Bacterial small subunit ribosomal RNA
Source: RNAcentral